AGCUCCAAUAGCGUAUACUAAUGUUGUUGCAGUUAAAAAGCUCGUAGUCGGAUUUCAGUAUUAGAUAUGCCAAUCCUAUGAUUGCGCUUGUCUUUACUUCUUUAACAGAAACAUUCAUCUUAUUCAUUUAGGGUGUUUUGCGACUGUUUCUUUUACUUUGAGAAAAUUUAGAGUGUUCAAAGCGGAUUUACGUCUGGAUAUUACUCUUGGAAUAAUAUUAUAGGACUUUGGUUCUUUUUUGUUGGUGACUUAGAACCGAAGUAAUGAUUGAUAGGGACAGUUGGGGUCAUUCGUACUGCAAAGCGAGAGGUGAAAUUCAUGGACCUUUGUAUGACGAACUACUGCGAAAGCAUUUGACUAGGAUGUUCCCGUUGAUC
This 377-nucleotide ribosomal RNA is filed under the name uncultured eukaryote. Its description in RNAcentral is "SSU rRNA". It matches the Rfam family "Eukaryotic small subunit ribosomal RNA", at positions 587 to 978 of the family's 1831-position model. The record is from RNAcentral.